This is a long non-coding RNA of Austrofundulus limnaeus, 1106 nucleotides long. RefSeq lists it as uncharacterized. NCBI's taxonomy places the organism in Eukaryota, Metazoa, Chordata, Actinopteri, Cyprinodontiformes, Rivulidae. The transcript is spliced from 2 exons. The record is from RefSeq and is a predicted model, not a curated record.
UACACAAAUCAUUUUAUUUAACAAGUGUGUUUUCAUCUUGACUUCAGUCGUAUUGAACACGUAUUUUAUCUUACAGUUUUUGGUGACACCCGACGAUCUGCUGACGGUCGAAUUGACAGCGGUGGUGUGUUGGGGCUUCGGCUGGAUAGGCCGGUCGUGGGAGCCGCCAUAUCGACGCACGUCCUAAGGCGCCAAUAAACAGGCUUUCUCAAGUUUCUUUAAAGGACUUAGAUUCCUCUGGGUUAUUUACUUGGUCAAAAGCGAACCCCAAGGGAAAAAAAAUGCAAUUUGUCCACAACUAAAUAAAGUGAGCAGUUUGAAGAAGAGCACAGCAAAUAAUAAUGACCUGCAGGAAGGAUUGUAUCAUGAAAGACAUCGGGACACAGACCACAACUUCGAGUGCUUUAUUGGGUUUUUCACUGCUGGGGAAUGUUGUCCCAAAUGUCACCAACAGUUUGUAAAAAUGUGUCAUUUAGUAAGAGUUCAAGCAAAAAAUAUAUUAUUUUAUUAAUACUUCGGCUCCUCAAACAAAGCAGCUUGAUCAAAAGAUUACGACAGGAUUAAGAAAACUAAAACAAAAAAAAAACAUUUUGGAUGAGAGGUGAACCAAGACAGGAAGUCCAUUUCUGUUCAACUCUUACAAUUAACGUGACUUAAAAGACUGACAGUUUACAGCAAUAUAUUUAGGAGCCAAUGAUCUAGAAGAGAAGGAGGCUAAUUAUUCUCUAUGGAGUCGGUGGAGCCCAAAGUAAAGCUCAAAUGAGAGUGAAAAUUGGUUUUAUGAUGCUUAACUAGACAAGUUGUUCCUUUUCUAUGGCUUUUUUUGUCCAAACCGCAGCAAAACAUUAUCAAAUACAAUCAACAGCAACCUGAUUAAAAAGAAGAAGCCGAGGUGUCACACGGGGCUCGCGGGGGGAGGGACGUCGUUCACUCAUUAAACCGAUUACAGACCAGAUUUACGGCUCUGCGUAGCGUGGAAAAUAAAACGGGGUGAAGUUGACGUUGGAGGAAAAGGGCAGGUGAGAGGACAGAUAAGGGAGCUGUGUGAACACGGCGGCGGGGAGCACAGGGUUGAUGUAAAGUCAGCGAGCAUUAAAAAAAAAAAA